GAGAAGCUGCUAUGAAAACAGCCUGUUGCGCUACUGAUAAGAGGCAAUGUAAACAAGAAAGCCAGGGAUUGACAAACAACCCUUGAGCACCAGGAUUCCUCAGGAUAUUGAUCGCAAGACAUUGCACAUAUAUGGUCUCCUUGUCCUGGCGAGUUAGAGGAAUAGCUGCCCUGCUCUGUGCUCAGCUGGGGAUUUCCAGAAGGAUGAGAGCUUUCCUUCCUGUCUCUCUGAUGAGUUUACCCGCCAGGACUUCGACAUGUGGAAGGCAGCUCAGCCUAUCUUGGUCAUACUGUGCUAUGAAAAUCUGCGGAAGACUCUUUGGCUGUACCUGGUGAAGGGGCUGACAGCCCUUCUCUGGGAAGUGGUUUUAUUGCACCAAAGUUAAAACUUCCCUGGCAUGUCUUUUGUCCUCACUCAGGAGACUCAGGUGUGCACACAGUCAUGGUGUUGCUUUAGAUGUAGACUGCUACAACCAUUUAUUAAAGAAUAAAA
Long non-coding RNA from Poecile atricapillus (Black-capped chickadee), 492 nucleotides. RefSeq lists it as uncharacterized. The transcript is spliced from 4 exons. NCBI's taxonomy places the organism in Eukaryota, Metazoa, Chordata, Aves, Passeriformes, Paridae. The record is from RefSeq and is a predicted model, not a curated record.